GAGCCAUCAGCCCAGAGCCCGACGCGGGGCUCGAUCUCACGGACCGCGAGAUCGUGACCUGAGUCGAAGUCGGACACUUAACCCACUGAGCCACCCAGGCGCCCCGGGAUGGAGUAUUUCAUGUGCAAGUGCUGUUCAGACCCUGGAGUUGCUUUUAUUAUUAAAAUAACAAGGCUUCCAGAUAAGAACAUGACAGUUCUACCUUUGGCAGUAACAGUUUCCACAGACCACGGAUUAUGGGACUUUAAGUUCAGUUCACCUUUAUGAAACAUCUACUAUGGGCAAGAUCUGCAGAUACAGUGAUGGACAAGACACCAUUUCUAUCCUCAAGAAGGUCACAGUCAAGGGGGAAAAGGACACACAAACAGGGCAAAAAGAAACCUGUUAGAUGAAGAGGACAGAAGGGCAUGCCGGGCAGAAGGAAGCAUGGCUUGUCGGAGGACCUGGAAGCGGGUAUUAUUGGGGCUUAAGGAGGGAGGCGGUGGGGCGCGAGUGGAGAGGAGGUGGGGGCAAGGGGCAGCCUGGUGUGGGGCUGGUGGCCAAAGGCCGUCUCUUCCUUCCCGGGCUUGAUGAGUGCAGCCUCACUCGCUUCCCCUGAGCCCAGAAGCCCCACCGCACCCGCUGGCCUUUGUCUCUAAACAGGUGCCCCUCUAUCUAUGGUCCCUUGCUUUAUUGAGUGUUGCAGAUACUCCAUGUUUUUACUUUGCAAAGGGAAGGUUUGUGGCAACCCUGGGUCGAGCAAGUCUAUCGGUGUCAUUUUCGUAGCAGCGUUUGCUCCCUCUGUGUCUCUGUGUCCUCUUUUGGUAAUUUUUGCAACAUUUCAAACUUUUUCAUUAUUAUAUUUGUUAUGGUGAUCUGUCAUCAGCGAGUACGACUUGUUGAAAGUUCAGAUGAUGGUUAGCAGUUUUUAGCGAUCAAGCCUUUUUCAAAAAGAUUUCAAGUAAUCUCUAUACCCAGCAUGGGGCUCGAACUCACAUCCCUGAGAUCGAGGGUCACAUGUCCCCUGACGGACUCAGCCAGGUGCCCUGCGAUAAGGUAUUUUUAAAUUAAGGUAUAUAUGUUGGUUUUUGUAGACAUGAUGCUAUUGCAUACUUAGUAAACUAUAGUGUAGUGUAAACAUAACUUUUUAAAAAUAAAGUUUAUUUAUUUUUGACAGAGAGAGAGAGAGAUGGAGAGAGCGAGCGUGCAGGACAGAGCAUCCCAAGCAGGCUCCGUGCUGACAGCACAGAGCCCGACGUGGAGUCCGGACUCACAAACUUGGAGAUCAUGACCUGAGCUGAAAUCGAGAGUCGGACGCCUAACCGACUGAGCCCCCCGGGCGCCCCGAGGGAACAUAACUUUUAUGUGCAGGGGGAAGCCAGAAAAUUCAUUGGCUUGCUUUCUUGCGAUAUUUACUUUCUUGCAGGGGGCUGGGACCGAGCCCGAGGCGUCUCUGAGGCGCCUGGAGACUGAAGAGGCCGAUUCGCCUGAAGGAAGAGCCCAUCCUGUGGCUCAAGCGCCACCACCCCCGCGAAGCCUCAGUGUGCUACCUCCGCCUUCAAUGAGCCGUACUGUCUACACCACACUUGGGAUCUCGGUCGCGGCUCCUUUUCAUCCACGAAAGUAUAGCCUCUGUGGUGAGACCAUAAGCUCCUGAGGGCUUCCUGUGAUACCGUUUAGUUUAAUAAAUACCAAGAAGA
Molecule: long non-coding RNA, 1679 nt
Organism: Felis catus (domestic cat)
Lineage: Eukaryota; Metazoa; Chordata; Mammalia; Carnivora; Felidae
Exons: 4
Source: RefSeq, a predicted model, not a curated record